This 467-nucleotide ribosomal RNA is filed under the name uncultured bacterium. RNAcentral's name for it is "partial 16S ribosomal RNA". It matches the Rfam family "Bacterial small subunit ribosomal RNA", at positions 28 to 507 of the family's 1533-position model. The record is from RNAcentral.
GACGAACGCUGGCGGCGUGCUUAACACAUGCAAGUCGAACGGAAAGGCCUCUUUCGGGGGGUGCUCGAGUGGCGAACGGGUGAGUAACACGUGAGUAACCCGCCCUUGACUUUGGGAUAACUUCCGGAAACUGGGGCUAAUACCGGAUAGGAGCUCCUGCUGCAUGGUGGGGGUUGGAAAGUUUCGGCGGUUGUGGAUGGACUCGCGGCUUAUCCGCUUUUUGGUUGGGUAGUGGCUUUCCAAGUCGUCGCCGGGUUGCCGGCCUGAUAGGGUGACCGGCGCCACUGGGACUGAGAUACGGCCCAGACACCUACGGGAGGCAGCUGUGGGGAAUAUUGCACAAGGGGUGGAAGCCGGAUGCAGCAACGACGUGGGCGGGAUGACGGCCCUCGGGUUGUAAACCGCUUUCGCGCCUGACGAAGGUUUGUGUGACGGUAGUGGGUAAAGAAGCACCGGCUAACUACGUG